This is a non-coding RNA of Lupinus albus (white lupine), 108 nucleotides long. The record is from the annotation of a GenBank genome assembly. NCBI's taxonomy places the organism in Eukaryota, Viridiplantae, Streptophyta, Magnoliopsida, Fabales, Fabaceae.
AAAAAAGUGCAGGGAUUUCGUAACCUUCAGUGAUAUAAUAACCAUUGUUCUUGGGUGAACCUUUGCUCAUUCUUUGUGACUUGAGGUUCAGUAAAUGAUGAAACACAC